Molecule: transfer RNA, 70 nt
Filed under: Dipodomys ordii (Ord's kangaroo rat)
Lineage: Eukaryota; Metazoa; Chordata; Mammalia; Rodentia; Heteromyidae
Rfam family: tRNA
About the family: Transfer RNA (tRNA) molecules are approximately 80 nucleotides in length.
Source: Rfam by way of RNAcentral
GGGAAGGUGUCUCAGUGGUAGAGUACUUGUCUUGCAUACAUGAAGAUCGAGGUUUGAUUCCCCCAACCCA